RNAcentral lists this ribosomal RNA (397 nucleotides) under uncultured bacterium. Its description in RNAcentral is "partial 16S ribosomal RNA". It matches the Rfam family "Bacterial small subunit ribosomal RNA", at positions 523 to 918 of the family's 1533-position model. The record is from RNAcentral.
AUACGUAGGGGGCGAGCGUUGUCCGGAAUGAUUGGGCGUAAAGGGCGCGUAGGCGGCCCGGUAAGUCUGGAGUGAAAGUCCUGCUUUUAAGGUGGGAAUUGCUUUGGAUACUGUCGGGCUUGAGUGCAGGAGAGGUAAGUGGAAUUCCCAGUGUAGCGGUGAAAUGCGUAGAGAUUGGGAGGAACACCAGUGGCGAAGGCGGCUUACUGGACUGUAACUGACGCUGAGGCGCGAAAGUGUGGGGAGCAAACAGGAUUAGAUACCCUGGUAGUCCACACUGUAAACGAUGAAUGCUAGGUGUAGGGGGUAUCGACCCCUUCUGUGCCGCAGUUAACACAAUAAGCAUUCCGCCUGGGGAGUACGGCCGCAAGGUUGAAACUCAAAGGAAUUGACGGGG